Molecule: ribosomal RNA, 449 nt
Filed under: uncultured bacterium
Lineage: Bacteria
Description: partial 16S ribosomal RNA
Rfam family: Bacterial small subunit ribosomal RNA
Source: RNAcentral
AACGAACGCUGGCGGCAUGCCUAACACAUGCAAGUCGAACGAGAUCUUCGGGUCUAGUGGCGCACGGGUGCGUAACGCGUGGGAAUCUGCCCUUUGGUUCGGAAUAACAGUUGGAAACGACUGCUAAUACCGGAUGAUGACGAAAGUCCAAAGAUUUAUCGCCAGAGGAUGAGCCCGCGUGGGAUUAGCUAGUUGGUGUGGGAAAGGCGCACCAAGGCGACGAUCCUUAGCUGGUCUGAGAGGAUGAUCAGCCACACUGGGAAUGAGACACGGCCCAGACUCCGACGGGAGGCAGCAGUGGGGAAUAUUGGACAAUGGGCGAAAGCCUGAUCCAGCAAUGCCGCGUGAGUGAUGAAGGCCUUAGGGUUGUAAAGCUCUUUUACCCGGGAUGAUAAUGACAGUACCGGGAGAAUAAGCUCCGGCUAACUCCGUGCCAGCCGCCGCCGUAA